AACGAACGCUGGCGGCAUGCCUAACACAUGCAAGUCGAACGGGAUCCUGGCUUCGGUCAGGUGAGAGUGGCGGACGGGUGAGUAACGCGUGGGAACCUGCCCAGUGGUGGGGGAUAACUGCGGGAAACUGCAGCUAAUACCGCAUGAGCCCGAGAGGGGAAAGAUUUAUCGCCAUUGGAGGGGCCCGCGUUCGAUUAGGUAGUUGGUGAGGUAACGGCUCACCAAGCCGACGAUCGAUAGCUGGUCUGAGAGGAUGAUCAGCCACACUGGGACUGAGAUACGGCCCAGACUCCUACGGGAGGCAGCAGUGGGGAAUAUUGGACAGUGGGGCAACCCUGAUCCAGCAAUGCCGCGUGAGUGAUGAAGGCC
RNAcentral lists this ribosomal RNA (369 nucleotides) under uncultured bacterium. Its description in RNAcentral is "bacterial SSU rRNA". It matches the Rfam family "Bacterial small subunit ribosomal RNA", at positions 29 to 416 of the family's 1533-position model. The record is from RNAcentral.